Molecule: non-coding RNA, 73 nt
Organism: Camelus dromedarius (Arabian camel)
Lineage: Eukaryota; Metazoa; Chordata; Mammalia; Artiodactyla; Camelidae
Source: the annotation of a RefSeq genome assembly
GGAGGGUGUAGCUCAGUGGUAGAGUGUAGGCUCACCAUGCACAAGGUCCUGGGUUCAAUCCCCAGCACCUCCA